AAUAGAUACCCGGGUAGUCCACGCCGUAAACGAUGUCGAUUUGGAGGUUGUUCCCUUGAGGAGUGGCUUCCGGAGCUAACGCGUUAAAUCGACCGCCUGGGGAGUACGGCCGCAAGGUUAAAACUCAAAUGAAUUGACGGGGGCCCGCACAAGCGGUGGAGCAUGUGGUUUAAUUCGAUGCAACGCGAAGAACCUUACCUACUCUUGACAUCCAGAGAACUUUCCAGAGAUGGAUUGGUGCCUUCGGGAACUCUGAGACAGGUGCUGCAUGGCUGUCGUCAGCUCGUGUUGUGAAAUGUUGGGUUAAGUCCCGCAACGAGCGCAACCCUUAUCCUUUGUUGCCAGCGGUUCGGCCGGGAACUCAAAGGAGACUGCCAGUGAUAAACUGGAGGAAGGUGGGGAUGACGUCAAGUCAUCAUGGCCCUUACGAGUAGGGCUACACACGUGCUACAAUGGCAUAUACAAAGAGAAGCGACCUCGCGAGAGCAAGCGGACCUCAUAAAGUAUGUCGUAGUCCGGAUUGGAU
RNAcentral lists this ribosomal RNA (526 nucleotides) under uncultured bacterium. RNAcentral's name for it is "bacterial SSU rRNA". It matches the Rfam family "Bacterial small subunit ribosomal RNA", at positions 777 to 1303 of the family's 1533-position model. The record is from RNAcentral.